Mus caroli (Ryukyu mouse) is the source of this 1318-nucleotide non-coding RNA. The record is from RefSeq and is a predicted model, not a curated record. Lineage: Eukaryota; Metazoa; Chordata; Mammalia; Rodentia; Muridae.
AUAUGAGUCUCUAUCAGCGGCGUGCGGUGGCGAGAUGUCUCACAGGAAAUUCUCAGCUCCCAGGCAUGGGUCCUUGGGCUUCCUGCCUCGAAAGCGUAGCAGCUGGCAUCGUGGGAAAGUGAAGAGCUUCCCUAAGGAUGACGCUUCCAAGCCUGUUCACCUCACAGCCUUUCUGGGUUACAAGGCUGGCAUGACCCACAUCGUCCGGGAAGUUGACAGGCCAGGAUCUAAGGUGAACAAGAAAGAAGUCGUGGAGGCUGUGACCAUUGUGGAACCCCCCCCCCCAAUGGUGGUUGUGGGCAUUGUGGGAUAUGUUGAGACCCCACGAGGCCUCCGGACCUUCAAGACUGUAUUUGCUGAGCACAUCAGCGAUGAGUGUAAAAGGCGCUUCUAUAAGAACUGGCACAAGUCUAAGAAGAAGGCUUUCACCAAGUACUGUAAGAAAUGGCAGGAUGACACAGGCAAGAAGCAGCUGGAGAAGGACUUCAACAGCAUGAAGAAGUACUGCCAGGUCAUCCGCAUCAUUGCCCACACUCAGAUGCGUCUGCUUCCUCUGCGCCAGAAGAAGGCACACUUGAUGGAGAUCCAGGUGAAUGGAAGCACUGUGGCUGAGAAGCUCGACUGGGCCCGAGAGAGACUCGAGCAGCAGGUUCCCGUGAACCAGGUGUUUGGCCAGGAUGAGAUGAUUGAUGUCAUCCGCGUGACAAAAGGCAAAGGGUACAAAGGGGUAACCAGUCGUUGGCAUACAAAGAAACUGCCCCGAAAGACACAUCGAGGUUUGCGCAAAGUUGCCUGUAUUGGAGCCUGGCACCCUGCCCGUGUCGCCUUCUCUGUGGCUCGAGCUGGGCAGAAAGGCUACCAUCACCGAACAGAGAUUAACAAGAAGAUUUAAAAGAUUGGUCAAGGCUACCUCAUCAAGGAUGGCAAACUGAUCAAGAACAAUGCAUCUACAGACUAUGACUUGUCUGACAAGAGCAUCAACCCACUGGGUGGCUUUGUCCAUUAUGGUGAGGUGACCAAUGACUUCAUCAUGCUCAAAGGCUGUGUGGUGGGGACCAAGAAGCGAGUACUUACUCUUUGUAAGUCCUUGCUGGUCCAGACCAAAUGUCGGGCCCUGGAGAAGAUUGACCUGAAGUUCAUUGACACCACCUCCAAAUUUGGCCAUGGUCGCUUCCAGACCAUGGAGGAGAAGAAAGCAUUCAUGGGACCACUCAAGAAAGAUCGCAUUGCGAAGGAGGAAGGCGCUUGAUUCCAGGACCACUUUGUGCAGAUGGUGGGGUCUCACCAAUAAAAUAUUUCUACUAAAAAAAAAUAAAAC